RNAcentral lists this long non-coding RNA (1340 nucleotides) under Androctonus crassicauda. Lineage: Eukaryota; Metazoa; Arthropoda; Arachnida; Scorpiones; Buthidae. The record is from RNAcentral.
UAUCCUACAGGUGUUAUUGAAUUUAGGCAGAAGAGGUGAUUUAGGUCCUGACUCGAAAAAGUCGUUAGAAGCAAAUGGUAGCUUCAUCAAAUGAUUUUGAUUACUUACAAAUGUAUUUAACUUUUUAGCUAGUUUUCUUAUAAAUGUGGAGUCCCAAUGGACCUUAAGAAAAACAAUUAUUAUAUGUAUUUUGCUUUUGUAAGUCUAUUUUAUGAAAUAAGUAAUAUCGUGAGAACAUAGAGUUUGAACUUUCUGUAAAGUGUCACUAUACACCUAAAUCGUAAUUUAACAACUUAUGACAUCUUUAAAUGAUAAAUAAUCAUUUGUUUAUCAUUUCUGCGAGUCUGUGGUUCUUAGUCAAGUAAAACAAAACAAAAAAAAACAAAAACAAGAAGAAAUUAUGAUGACACAGGAGAAUCUAGUGACACGUAGGUGGUAGGAAGAUGAGAAUUGAAGUUAUGUAAGAAGAGGAGAAGAAGAUUGUUGAUUAGACAGUUGGAUCAGGAGGCUGACCUAAAAAAACUUAGAGAUAAGCACUCAGUCACUUCCUGCCAGAGGAGCCAGUCAGACAUGAAACAUUGAGAGUAUCAAUCUCUAGAACAUCAACCUGCAAGUUGCAAGAUUUCCGGCUAGCAAUUGGUCUAGGAUUUCGAAAGAAGUUAGAGAAAUUUCAAGGGGUCGUCAAAAAUCUCCACAGGGACUGAACGUGACUGAGAGUCUUCCCAACAUUUCCAAGUAGUCCAGAUGUAUCUGAAGAAGCAUUCCUUUUUUUUGUUGUUUUGUCUAGAAGAAGAAAAAGAAAGCAGAACAAGAGAGAAGGAUUUCUACCAUUGUAGCUGUCCAGAAUUCUCCUUGAUUAAUGCAUCUUGCCUCUACUCCCAGUUUUAUUCAUCUCAAGGACUAAAGAUUGUGUCCGUUUGUUGGACUAAAGACUAUAGUAUCUGGACAUCAUCAUAAUUAUAAUUCCUUUUUUCCAAGUCUACUAAACUACCAUAAUCAGUGUUCAUUAGUUUUUAUCUCUGAUAAUUGAUCAUUUUCUUCUUAAAGGUAUUUAUCUUCCAUGGAGAUUUUGUAAAAUCACAUGUCCUCUCUCUCAAUAAAGAUCCCAGUUUCAACAAACCAUGGUUGUCUGUUUUAAUUGUGUAAAGAACGACUCACUUUGCCAUUCCUACUCACACGUAUAAACCACAUAAUUGUGGUAGGCUAACACCUGUUGACAUCGUUCACCAGAUCCACAUAAAUAUGUUUAUUUUUCCCUGCAUUUUUGUUGUUUUUAUUUACAUAGCGAUUUUUCUGGAUUUACCUAAACGAUCCUGUAUAUAAAGCUAUUCUGAUUUUGG